Molecule: ribosomal RNA, 198 nt
Filed under: uncultured bacterium
Lineage: Bacteria
Description: partial 16S ribosomal RNA
Rfam family: Bacterial small subunit ribosomal RNA
Source: RNAcentral
ACGCUCGACACCUACGGGGGGCAGCAGUGGGGAAUAUUGCACAAUGGGGGAAACCCUGAUGCAGCGACGCCGCGUGAGCGAAGAAGUAUUUCGGUAUGUAAAGCUCUAUCAGCAGGGAAGAUCAUGACGGUACCUGACUAAGAAGCUCCGGCUAAAUACGUGCCAGCAGCCACGGUAAUCUGAGCGGGCUGGCAAGGC